RNAcentral lists this ribosomal RNA (717 nucleotides) under uncultured bacterium. Its description in RNAcentral is "bacterial SSU rRNA". It matches the Rfam family "Bacterial small subunit ribosomal RNA", at positions 9 to 716 of the family's 1533-position model. The record is from RNAcentral.
GAGUUUGAUCCUGGCUCAGAAUGAACGCUAGCGGCAGGCUUAACACAUGCAAGCUCGAGGGGUAACAGGAGAAAGCUUGCUUUUUCGCUGACGACCGGCGCACGGGUGAGUAACGCGUAUACAAUUUACCUUAUACAGGAGGAUAGCCUUUAGAAAUGAAGAUUAAUACUCCAUGGCAUUAUGAUAUGGCAUCAUAUUAUAAUUAAAGAUUUAUUGGUAUAAGAUGAGUAUGCGUCCUAUUAGUUAGUUGGUAAGGUAAUGGCUUACCAAGACUUCGAUAGGUAGGGGUCCUGAGAGGGAGACCCCCCACACUGGUACUGAGACACGGACCAGACUCCUACGGGAGGCAGCAGUGAGGAAUAUUGGACAAUGGAGGCAACUCUGAUCCAGCCAUGCCGCGUGCAGGAAGACGGCCCUAUGGGUUGUAAACUGCUUUUAUAUAGGAAGAAACCCAACCACGUGUGGUUGGCUGACGGUACUGUAUGAAUAAGCACCGGCUAACUCCGUGCCAGCAGCCGCGGUAAUACGGAGGGUGCAAGCGUUAUCCGGAAUCAUUGGGUUUAAAGGGUCCGUANGCGGGUAAUUAAGUCAGAGGUGAAAUCCCACAGCUUAACUGUGGAACUGCCUUAGAUACUGGUUAUCUUGAGUUUUAGUGAAGUAGAUAGAAUGUGUAGUGUAGCGGUGAAAUGCAUAGAUAUUACACGAAAUACCGAUUGC